Non-coding RNA from Pelobates cultripes (western spadefoot toad), 329 nucleotides. The record is from the annotation of a GenBank genome assembly. NCBI's taxonomy places the organism in Eukaryota, Metazoa, Chordata, Amphibia, Anura, Pelobatidae.
GCACACACACACAUCAUCCAGCACACACACACACACACACACAUCAUCCAGCACACACACACACAUCAUCCAGCACACACACACACACAUCACCCAGCACUCACACACACAUCAUCCAGCACACGCACACACACACACACACAUCAUCCAGCACACACAUCAUCCAGCACACACACACACAUCAUCCAGCACACACACACACACACACACACAUCAUCCAGCACUCGCACACACAUCAUCCAGCACACACACACACAUCAUCCAGCACUCACACACACGUCAUCCAGCGCGCUCACGCACACACUGCAUUCAUUAUACACACUCUUCAC